CAUGGAGUAUGUAUAAGGAGACCGAACUAGGUCUGGAUCACGUCACCGAAAGUGGGCCGACAUUUUUGCCAUCCAGUGAAUCAAAAUUUUGCCACUUGUAGCGCUGGCGUCGCCUUACGCGAUUAAGAAUUCGCUCAUGAGUUACCGAUCUUGAUCUCACUGGAUCGUAGAUACAGCGUAUAGCAGGGGCCUUGAGAAUACGGACGUGGAACCAAUUGAGGAUAUCUUGAAGAGGGAGGAUUGGGAUAAACUUUACCUGAUCAGUUUAUUAGAAGGACAGGAAGGACGGUGUGAACAAGAAGACACGCUUAAGAAUCACGCUAAAUAACCUAACGGUUGACGGCGUUCCCGCAGAGGGAAAAUACAAAAUUUCAGAAUGAGAAAAAAAUGUUCCUACCCGCAUUGCCUGACAGGCUCGGCAGCAAACCACAAACACAAUGUGGCCCAUCUAAAGAAAAAAGCUUUAUUUUGUGUCCCAAAGGAAAAAUCCUUUAUUUUCUAACUACGUUUCGGCCAUUGGUUUUGGCCCUCUUCAAGUGUACAAAUCAGCGUAUGACAUGUGGUU
This is a long non-coding RNA of Vollenhovia emeryi, 565 nucleotides long. RefSeq lists it as uncharacterized. NCBI's taxonomy places the organism in Eukaryota, Metazoa, Arthropoda, Insecta, Hymenoptera, Formicidae. The transcript has 3 exons. The record is from RefSeq and is a predicted model, not a curated record.